Molecule: ribosomal RNA, 480 nt
Filed under: uncultured bacterium
Lineage: Bacteria
Description: partial 16S ribosomal RNA
Rfam family: Bacterial small subunit ribosomal RNA
Source: RNAcentral
GAUGAACGCUAGCGGCAGGCCUAACACAUGCAAGUCGAGGGGGAAGUUACUUUCGGGUGACUGAGACCGGCGUACGGGUGCGUAACGCGUAUACAAUCUGCCUUUCACUGGGGGAUAGCCCGAAGAAAUUUGGAUUAAUACCCCAUAGUAUAUAGGGACGGCAUCGUUUUUAUAUUAAAGCUUAGGUGGUGAAAGAUGAGUAUGCGUUCUAUUAGCUAGUUGGAGAGGUAACGGCUCCCCAAGGCGAUGAUAGAUAGGGGUUCUGAGAGGGAUGUCCCCCACACUGGUACUGAGAUACGGACCAGACGCCUACGGGAGGCAGCAGUGAGGAAUAUUGGACAAUGGUCGGAAGACUGAUCCAGCCAUGCCGCGUGCAGGAUGAAGGUCUUAUGGAUUGUAAACUGCUUUUGGAAGGGAAGAAUAAGGGCUACGCGUAGUUUGAUGACGGUACCUGACGAAUAAGCAUCGGCUAACUCCGCG